AACGCGUGGGUAAUCUAGCUUUAGGUCUGGGAUAACUCCGGGAAACUGGGGCUAAUACCGGAUAAGACCACGGGGUCUUCGGGUCUUGCGGAAAAAGGUGGCCUCUUCUUGAAAGCUAUCGCCUAUUGAUGAGUCCGCGUCCCAUUAGCUUGUUGGUGAGGUAAAGGCUCACCAAGGCUUCGAUGGGUAGCUGGUCUGAGAGGAUGAUCAGCCACACUGGAACUGAGACACGGUCCAG
This 238-nucleotide ribosomal RNA is filed under the name uncultured bacterium. Its description in RNAcentral is "partial 16S ribosomal RNA". It matches the Rfam family "Bacterial small subunit ribosomal RNA", at positions 112 to 334 of the family's 1533-position model. The record is from RNAcentral.